GCAGGCAUCGGGCCAAUCUCAGAGGGCGCGCACGCCGCAUCAGGACCCCGGAACCCGCCCCGUUGGGGAUAGGGACAGAUGGAGAAUCCAGCUCAGACCCAGGUAAGCUGCUUUGGAAGGCAGAGAACCGCCGGUACCUGCUUUAACGUUAGCGUCGCUGGGGGUAAGCGGGAAGCAGCCAUGUCCACCAGAGGUCCGCCGGAGCCUCAGCGCGCAGGAGCGGAAGUGGGGUUCGACCAAGGGGUGUGGCGAGCCCGGUUUCCUAGGAGACGGCCCGCGGGUUGCUCUCGGACUGAGAGCGCGAGGCUUCGGGACUGAGCCCUAGCUGCUGCGCUGGCCGAAGUUUUCUCGUCGGUAAAAUAGGAUAACAGUGCACCAUAGGGUCGUUUUGAUAAAGAAGAAAGGUAGGGCACUUAACACAGUUCCUGGUAAAGAGAGUUCAAAUGAAAGUGAAGGAGGCCGGGCGCGGUGGCUCUCACCUGCAGUCCCAAGCACUCUGGGAGGCCUGUAAGGUGCCUGUAAUCCCAGCUCCUCGGGAUGCUGAGGCAGGAGAAUCGCUUGAACCCGAGAAGUGAAGGUUGCAGUGAUCCGAGAUCGCACCACUGCACUC
Molecule: long non-coding RNA, 610 nt
Filed under: Homo sapiens (human)
Lineage: Eukaryota; Metazoa; Chordata; Mammalia; Primates; Hominidae
Description: HSALNT0109777
Source: RNAcentral